This 429-nucleotide ribosomal RNA is filed under the name Gemmatimonadota bacterium. Its description in RNAcentral is "Gemmatimonadetes bacterium partial 16S ribosomal RNA". It matches the Rfam family "Bacterial small subunit ribosomal RNA", at positions 355 to 776 of the family's 1533-position model. The record is from RNAcentral. Lineage: Bacteria; Pseudomonadati; Gemmatimonadota.
UAGGGAAUCUUCGGCAAUGGACGAAAGUCUGACCGAGCAACGCCGCGUGAGUGAAGAAGGUUUUCGGAUCGUAAAACUCUGUUGUUAGAGAAGAACAAGGACGUUAGUAACUGAACGUCCCCUGACGGUAUCUAACCAGAAAGCCACGGCUAACUACGUGCCAGCAGCCGCGGUAAUACGCAGGUGGCAAGCGUUGUCCGGAUUUAUUGGGCGUAAAGCGAGCGCAGGCGGUUUCUUAAGUCUGAUGUGAAAGCCCCCGGCUCAACCGGGGAGGGUCAUUGGAAACUGGGAGACUUGAGUGCAGAAGAGGAGAGUGGAAUUCCAUGUGUAGCGGUGAAAUGCGUAGAUAUAUGGAGGAACACCAGUGGCGAAGGCGGCUCUCUGGUCUGUAACUGACGCUGAGGCUCGAAAGCGUGGGGAGCAAACAGG